AACCAUCCAGCCCUGCAGCUUCAUGCAUCUCCCUUCCUCUGAGCCUUCCCUUCCUACCUUAUCAUCUGUUAUAUAGACAUUAGUCAAGUGUCAAUUCAGUCCACCUAGAACUCAAGAGAAUUCCUGAUUCCUCUGACAUAACUGCUUGAGCCUCAUCAAUACUGUAAAGAAUCUGGAGUUCUCCUAAGUUUGGUUAAUCACAGGAAAUGUGGAAACAUCAGGAAGGUAAGGAAACCUUGGCGGAGACCCACAAGUUCGAGAUCCUCUCUUCUUUUCUAUUAUUAUUUCUACUCUUCUGAAUCAUCUAGAGAGAUCCCUGAGAAGGGAAAGCAUAGGACAUCUAUUCUCAUGAAAGAAUAAAGCAUCACCCUCUGGGUGCCCC
RNAcentral lists this long non-coding RNA (382 nucleotides) under Bos taurus (domestic cattle). Its description in RNAcentral is "long non-coding RNA NONBTAT024587". The record is from RNAcentral. Lineage: Eukaryota; Metazoa; Chordata; Mammalia; Artiodactyla; Bovidae.